UUUUUUUUUUUUUUUUUUUUUUUUGGUAGAGUUUCGCUCUUGUUGCCCAGGCUAGAAUGCAAUGACAUGAUAUUGGCUCACCACAACCUCUACCUCCCAGGUUCAAGUGAUUCUCCUGCCUCAGCCUCCCGAAUAGCUGGGAUUAACAGGCAUGCCCAGCUAAUUUUUGUACUUUUAGUAGAGAUGGGGUUUCUCUACUACAUCCCGUUGGUCAGGCUGGUCUUGAACUCCCAACCUCAGGUGAUCUGCCAGCCUCAGCCUCCCAAAGUGCUGGGAUUACAGGUGUGAGCCACCGUGCCUGACUGUCAUAGCUCUACUCUUAUUAUCUGAAAGAUCUGUUUUAGAGAAAAGUGAUUCUGAUUUUUUUUUUUUUUUUUAAAGACAGGGUCUCAUACUGUUGCCCAGGCUUGGAGUGCAGUGGCAUGAUCACAGUUCACUGCAGCCUUGAUCUCCUGGGCUCAGGCAAUCCUCCCACCUUAGCCUCCCAAGUAGCUGGGACUACAGACGUGUAAAACCAUGCCUGGCUAAUUAAAAAAAUUUUUUUGUAGAGAUUGGGUUUUGUCAUGUGACCCAGGCUGGUCUUGAACUUCUGGGCUCAAGCGAUCCACCUGCUUUGGCCUCCCAAAGUGCUGGAAUUAUAGGUGUGAGCCACAGUGCCCAGCCUGAUUCUAAUUCUUAAAACUUUCACACAGGCUGGGUGCGGUGGCUCCUGCCUGUAAUUCCAGCACUGAGCCCUUACUGCAUCUCAUUCAUUCUUCCACCUGUGUUCCUGGGCAUUCUUCUCCCAUUUUAUAGAUGAAGGAACCAAAGCCCACAAAGGUCACAUAGGCCGGGCGCGGUGGCUUACACCUGUAAUCCUAGCACUUUGGGAGGCCAAGGCAGGCAGACUGCUUGAGCCCAGGAGUUUGAGGCCAGCCUUGGUAACAUGGAGAAACCCCAUCUCUACAAAAUAAUUAGCCUGGCGUGAUGGCACGCACCUGUAGUCCCAGCUACCCUGGGAGCUGAGGCAGGAGGAUCUUUUGAGCCUGGGAGGCAGAAUCUGUCUCAAAAAAAAGAAAAAACAGUCACA
RNAcentral lists this long non-coding RNA (1069 nucleotides) under Macaca fascicularis (crab-eating macaque). Its description in RNAcentral is "lncRNA (ENSMFAG00000054765.1)". Lineage: Eukaryota; Metazoa; Chordata; Mammalia; Primates; Cercopithecidae. The record is from RNAcentral.